This 2151-nucleotide small RNA is filed under the name Malus domestica (apple). Its description in RNAcentral is "sRNA MD08G0084500". The record is from RNAcentral. Lineage: Eukaryota; Viridiplantae; Streptophyta; Magnoliopsida; Rosales; Rosaceae.
AAUAAAGUGGUGGGGUAGAGGAAUGAGAAUAAAUAUGGCAUCCAGCACUGCAGUGAUCUUUAAGAGAUGUGAGUGAAAGAUGUCCGAAUCAAUCAACAAUGGACAACAACUAAGAACAUUUUAUUUUUUGGUUUUAUCAUAUAUGAAAAUUUGAACAAGGAAAAGAUAUACAGAAUUGAUCCAGAGAGCAGCACCAUUCAUAAGCCCUAGCAAAAAUCCCAGAGAGCAGCACCAUCAACGUUUUUUACGUAUCCAUUACUCCAUCCGAGAUUCCAAAACGCUCAAUAAAAACCCUCGUCAUCCGUCGAAGCCGGCAUCGGCUGCUGGGACCUCCGCACCGGCGCCGAGCAGCUCCGCUACAAGCUCUGCGCCCUCCGCCUCAGGGCCUCAUCUGCGUCGGCGAACGGUUCCUGGCCUCCUCUCAGCUCUGCGAGCAUUCUGCCUCCUCUGGCUCUGUCCAGUACUGGUCCUGGUGCAAGCCGCAAGUUGAUGUCAAGAGUUUCCGAGAAGAACCGAUCAAUCCGCUCGCUGCGAACAGCGAAGGCACGUCGGUGAAUAGCUACUUGUGGAAGGUUAACACUGGUAGACUGUUUAAGAAUUGGCAUGCUCACGACAGAGGUGUUAGUUGAUUGGUAUUUUUGGAUGAUGGCUCCCUGCUGAUUUCGGGGUUGGAGGAUGGAGAUAUUAGAGUUUGGUCUCUUAUACGAUUAUUUGACGAUUAUCAAAGUGAAUUACAAAGCCAUCUGUACAUGCUAAAUUUAUGGAGCACACUCUUUGUGUAACCGAUGUUGGCGCAAGAUAUGGUGGAUGCAAAGCCAUUAUUGUAUCAGCAUCUCAGGAUCGCACGUGUGAGGCCCAGUGAAUAAUAUUCUAGUCGUUCGACAACACUUUUCUGAGAAAUAUUGUUCUGACUUCAACUGAAGACCUCAUACAAGUCUGGAUCACUUUGCAUUAUACUAGACACACACGCUUUUGAUGUGCCUAUGUCCAGACGAUCUUCAUUCUCCUCGAAAGCAAAGGAAAGGACCAUUCUGCUGAAAUCUGUAAUGCAGCAGCCAACCAUCGGUUCUAGUAAUGCAUGCAGGCUUCUCUCCCUUUCCAUCUCACUUCCUCUAAAGAGAAAAUGCGUUAGCCCUGCGUCCAUUAGCAGCACUCGCAACAGUCAAGCGGGUAGGAUUAACGAAAAAUUCAAAAGAUCAACGAAACAUGUAUGCAUAAACUAAACACCCCAAUUAAUUUUGAGAUUACCUUUUCGAUGAUUUUUGCACCCAGCCAAAGUCAGCUCCAAUGUAAUGGUUUCGGUUUAUUUUAGGCAGCAUUGUUUGUACUCGGGACCUGUAACUAGUAGCAGCUAAGUCUCAAAUUCAGAGAUUUUAAAAAUAAAAUAAAACUAGAGCAUUGGGAGAGGAGGAAUCGUACUCGGGACCUGGAAUAUGGUCUUAACCGAGUUACAAGUCCCUUGCAACAUUAUAUAUGCAGUUAUGCUUGUCUAGUUGGAAUCUUGUCUAGUUGGAUUGAUGUAAAAUGAAUAGAGUGAGUUGGUAAAUAAAUAGAAAAGAGCUUAAUUACCAGAAGUGGAAGCCCUCUCAUGCAACUAAACAGCAUCCUCUGUUUCCACUAUGCCUGAAGUGGAAGGCCUCUCAGGUAACUCAACAGCAUCCUCUGCCUCCACUAUGCGUUUACCAUCCAUUCUGAUGUUGGGGAUGUGAGAAAUCUUGGGCCACUCCUUUCCUCUGCCUUUUUGGCAACCUUGUGCAAGAUAACCACUGUAUUUGAUGUUAAGUGUCUGAAGUGAUGUUUUCCGCAAGAAGUCUGGCAGUGUUUUUAGCUGAGGGCAGUACCCAAUCUGUAAAGAAGAAAGGCAUGGCAUUAUGGUAAUAUGAGAAUCCUCUUCCUUCCACUCUUCCACUCCUUUCCACUCUUCCCACUCCAGCAUCAACAGAAAUGUUAGUGUUUUCAAUUUUGGGAAUAGAGUAAUGCAUGAUGAUGCUGAUGACGUUUCCUUUUCUAUUCCCAGAAACUCAACUCCAACCUUUUUUACUCCUUUCAUACUACUAAGGAUCAGUGUUUCGAGGGACGGCAAUAUUCCCAAAGGAGGUAAAACUUCACAUUCAUUCCACCACACAAGAUCAAGAACUCUCAAAUUGUUUA